This 381-nucleotide ribosomal RNA is filed under the name uncultured eukaryote. Its description in RNAcentral is "SSU rRNA". It matches the Rfam family "Eukaryotic small subunit ribosomal RNA", at positions 587 to 972 of the family's 1831-position model. The record is from RNAcentral.
AGCUCCAAUAGCGUAUAUUAAAGUUGUUGCAGUUAAAAAGCUCGUAGUUGAAUUUGUGGUGUACGGCGGGUCCCGGGCACUAGUUGUCUGAGUGACUUGCCGAUGCCAUCCUUGGGUGGAACCUGUGUGGCAUUAGGUUGUCGUGCAGGGGAUGCCCAUCGUUUACUGUGAAAAAAUUAGAGUGUUCAAAGCAGGCUUAUGCCGUUGAAUAUAUUAGCAUGGAAUAAUGAGAUAGGACUUUUUCGCUAUUUUGUUGGUUUGCGCGAGAAGGUAAUGAUUAAUAGGGACAGUUGGGGGUAUUCGUAUUCCAUUGUCAGAGGUGAAAUUCUUGGAUUUCUGGAAGACGAACUACUGCGAAAGCAUUUACCAAGGAUGUUUUCA